This 508-nucleotide ribosomal RNA is filed under the name uncultured bacterium. RNAcentral describes it as "partial 16S ribosomal RNA". It matches the Rfam family "Bacterial small subunit ribosomal RNA", at positions 30 to 523 of the family's 1533-position model. The record is from RNAcentral.
AUUGAACGCUGGCGGCAUGCCUUACACAUGCAAGUCGAACGGCAGCGGGGGAGAAGCUUGCUUUUCCUGCCGGCGAGUGGCGAACGGGUGAGUAAUACAUCGGAACGUGCCCUGUAGUGGGGGAUAACUAGUCGAAAGAUUAGCUAAUACCGCAUACGACCUGAGGGUGAAAGUGGGGGACCGCAAGGCCUCAUGCUAUAGGAGCGGCCGAUGUCUGAUUGGCUAGUUGGUGGGGUAAAGGCCUACCAAGGCGACGAUCAGUAGCUGGUCUGAGAGGACGAUCAGCCACACUGGGACUGAGACACGGCCCAGACUCCUACGGGAGGCAGCAGUGGGGAAUUUUGGACAAUGGGCGAAAGCCUGAUCCAGCAAUGCCGCGUGUGUGAAGAAGGCCUUCGGGUUGUAAAGCACGUUUGUCCGGAAAGAAAUGGCUCUGGUUAAUACCUGGGGUCGAUGACGGUACCGGAAGAAUAAGGACCGGCUAACUACGUGCCAGCCGCCGCUGUAA